Small nuclear RNA from Sorex araneus (European shrew), 107 nucleotides. The record is from RefSeq and is a predicted model, not a curated record. NCBI's taxonomy places the organism in Eukaryota, Metazoa, Chordata, Mammalia, Eulipotyphla, Soricidae.
GUGAUAGCUUUGGCAGCAUAUAUACUAAAAUUGGAACAAUACCUAGAAGAUUAGCUUUGUCCCUGGGUAAGGAUAACAAGCACAUUCAUGAAGAGUUCCAUAUUUUU